UUUAUUUAGGUAGUAAAGUGCUGACCGUUUUGAGAAUUGAAUUUUUGUUUAAAUAUGAGGUUUUGCUAGUAAAUCCAUCAAGGAAAUGCUAGAAUUUAGUAGUCUUGGACACUCAAGGCGACAUGAGCAACACCAAUGUUGUCUGAUUACUAUUUUUCCGAUUUAACCAAAAAAAAAACCUCCAUGCAGGUUUUGCUUUGAAGAUUUAAGCUGGACCUGGCAGCAUCAAAGAAUUGGGUCUUGUAUCUUGCGGAUGAAGUCAAAGCAGCCAACUGUUCCAACGGAAAUUUGAAGUAAUUGAAAACAGGAUGAUAUCUAUUAGUUAUUUAUACCACACUUAUGGAAACCGGGUAAUUUUGAAGAAAAAAUGAGUUUCUGGAAAAAUAAAACUUUCUGAUCAGGACUUUGGCAAAGCAUACCGCUUGUUUAUCUGGCUGAGCUUUGGCUACUUGAAAAUUGAUAGAGUGCUUGAAAGAUGAGGUGAAAGAGUAUUGGUGUGUCAGCAUGGAGAAGUUCUUUGUAGUUCCUACCAAGUUCGCCAUGAAGAAAUUGCAAGGUCAUUUGAACAGAUGGGUCAUUUUUAAGUAAGUUUCUGUUAGUUUUUAUCAGGCAAAUGAAAAUUUUUGUACCACCAGAAAGAGCUUCGAAAUUUGUAUGUUAUUCUGACAUUUUGGAAAUAGAAAAUCAAGAGAAAUUAAGAUAAAAUAAAAUUUUGUUUUUGAUAUUUUAAAAUAUCACAAAACUGCAAAAAUGAAUACAUUUUUUGACAAACUUUUGUAAACUAAUGAAUAGACGAACUAACCAACACCAAAUUUUUUGUAAGAAAAAUUUCAAUAACAUUUAAGCAUAAUACAAAUUUUUAAUUACUUUAUAUAAGUUUUACUUUUGGCAUAUUAUGGUUAUUUUUUACAGUUGCGUUCAUACCAUUCAGGUUGUCUUAAAAGUUUUAUUUUUUACUUUAUCACACGUUUGGAUUCGGCCAUUAAAAUAAGUGUAAGGUUUUUCAAAUAAUUUGGGUUUUGUCAAAACAGAAUCUAAUUUAAAUUUUUUAAUUACAUAAGGAUUUAAUAUAUGUUAGCGCAAUUUAUAGUAGUGUAACAAUACGCCCUAUUUUAUAUUUCAAUUAUAAAAAACUUGCUAUCUCAUAAAAGGGGGCCAAAAAUAUUUUUAUCGCUUGAUUAAUUUAAAUUAAACGCCAUAUUGUUUAACUUACUUUUCGUGUUUUCCCAGAAUAUGCGGAAUUUUGAGUUUCAUUAUUUAAAUAAAUGUUUUAUAGUUGACUAUGGUAUUUAGAAAUGAAAGAUAAUUUAUUGUACUUUUGUAUUUUUCAACAAGUAUUUAAUUAAUUUUCAAUUAACUUACAGCUACCCUAUUAUCCAUUAAUCACAUUUAAAUCCACAAAAAUACAUAAAAUAUGCAAUACAAUACACAAGUAGAUCAUGGUGUAAUGGUUUAAGAAUCAUUAUAAUUUAUCUUACUUUUACUUUUGUUAAUUAAGAAAUUUUUAUUUCUAAUUUGAAAGUCUCUAAAUCUAUUUCUUUAAUAUUAUUUGGAAGAUUAUUGAAGAAUUUUAGAGUAAAAUAGUUAAUGCUAGACCUACAGUUCUCAAAUCUGAAAAUUUCAGGGUUUAUAUCUUCAUUAAAAUGGGUAAUAUAAUAGUGAAAGUCAUUCUAUUGUAUAAUUACCUAAGUGUUCUUUUAUAUUUUUUAGUAAUUAAGCCAUCCAAUCUACAUCAGCAAAAAGAUACAACACUAAAAGAAGUAUCUUAAAACCAUUUAUUCGCACAUCAUUUCUAAUAAAAACCAUUAAAUGACAUUCCAUUUAUUGACACAUGAAAAUUAAAAUAUAUAUAUUAACAGAAUAAAGUAACUAACUCAAACAAACUGUCUUUCUAUAUUUUCCAAAAUUUCUGGAGUAGGCAGUACUUCAACAAUGCAGUUUUUUGAAUGCAUGAUACAUUAGUUCAACUUCAAAUGGUAGCAUUCUUUUUUCCAUAAUAUAAUGUGCUCAAGACAUAAUCACCAACAGAAAUGUUUUUGUUAUCUCAAAGAAUAUUUCACUAUUUGAUUUCAGAGAUAAUAUCUACAUCUUCCGAAUUGUCAUCACUGUCUAUCCAGCUUUCUUCAUAUUCUGAAUUCUCUGAGGAAAGUUUUGUUUCUGGAACUUGUUACCCGAAUUUUCAAUUAUUCUUCUACAUUGUCAUUCAGUAUCACAUUUCAAGUUACAGACUCUACAAUUUGAUCAUCAGUCAGUGUUUCUCUUGGUACGAUAUCACUGCGUAUUUGUUGUUUUUUCGACCACUGGUUGAGAGGAAGAUCUUUGUCUGAGUCAUGCUUCAAGCAAUUGGCAAUGGUUUCACUAGUAACCUUUUGCCAAACCAUAUGAAUGUAAUUUACGGCGUCCAAGAGGUCUAUAAUCUAAACUAUUACACAUUGGUCCAUUGACUGAAGUUUCGAAUUUGUUUUAGGUGGUUUAAACACAAAAUGCAUUUGUUCUAAUUUCACAUAGAGGUAAUUCUUAAGAAGCAGUAAAUUGUUCUUUGCUUUCAUUUCUUCAUCCUAUUCAUGUAACUCAUCUGUAAGCAAGCUUAACUGUUUGCCCACACCAACAAUUUCCUUUUUUCUGAUCCAGGCAUGUUUGCCGCCACUAGAACUGUGAUCUUUUCUUUAGCUCCAGCACAAGGUUCAGUGUUCAGAACAAGUUUCAGUGUUAUAUUGGUAUCAUUUUAUAAAAUAGGCCUGUUUCAUCCGCAUUAAAAAUGUUUGUCGUAAAUUUCUGAUACACGUUCUAUCCAACUCCUAGAAUAGUUGAACUAUGCUUUUCCAAUUUUGGUUCACAAUUCACUUGCUUUUUCUUGUAAAACACUAGCCCGUAUAAGAAUGUUUCCUUCCUUUUUUGGGAGUAAACAACUUAAGAAGUCCUUUAUCCACGUCUCGGCGUUUAGAUUUUCCUGAUUUUUCACAUUUAAGGCUAAUAAAACCUUUUAUAAGCUUUAAAUCGCCACUUUCCCACUUUGAUUUUUUUUAAUAAUGUCAUAUUUCUACUUAAGUGUAAAAGCUUUAAGAUAUUGUUUCUCCAUUUUAUUGCGUGAUUUACGAUUUACCGAAUGCCAAUAAAAACUCCGAUUUCACGAGCAUUACUUCUUACACUACGCACCGACACAGUAAAAGUACAUCGAAUAAAAGUUCAUUUUAACUGGAAAUUCAUACUUUUGUUUAGGUCUGAAAGAAAAUACAUAAGCUAUUUACCUAACAGUGACAUACUAAUCAUUGGUUAAAUAUAUCCUUUCUACAAAAACUAAAUAUUGGCAACACCGCCACAAUGCAAGCAAAAGUUAUGAUAGAAUCUGGCAAAUAAUUAAAUAAGGAAUCUUUUAAGGUUUGUCAAUAAUUGGAAGAAGUAUUAUUAUUUUAAGUAAUUAAUCACUGACACACAAGUUCAUUCGUUUCUGCAUCUAUUAUAACUAAAGCACAGUUGGAAUUAAAGUUAUAAAUAAACUACUAAUUAAAUAAUUUUAAAUGUUUCUUUUUAGACAACCAUUUUUUCUGUCAUUGACGUGUUAAGGUGGAGUCGGCCACAAACCAUUCACCCAAGCCUGAUAAGCCCCUUCCCAUUGCUGUAUCCAAAGUUUUUUUUUUUGUAUCCGUUUCUGUGGUAUUACACCCACAGUUGUUUUUGAUUUUUGUUUGCCAAUAUCAAUAUCAUUGAUAUAUAUUUAUACCAGUAAAAGUGAGAGCACUGAACUCUACACAUAUUCUAUUUCCAUGUGAAUGAAAAGAUUUUUAUAUAUGAUUUAUAAUGAAAAGAUAAAUAUAUAUAUAUAUAUAUAUAUAUAUAUAUAUAUAUAUAUAUAUAUAUAUAUAUAUAUAUAUAUAUAUAUAUAUAUAUAUAUAUAUAUAUAUAUAUAUAUAUAUAUGCGCGAGCAUUGAAGAUGCCAAGUGAGAUUUUGGCGAAACGUCUGCAGGAUUCCAGUCGGAUGCAGGAUUUGCAGGAUUCCAGUCAGAUGCAGGAUUCCAGUUUCCAUUAGUUAAUUGUUGUUAGAGCCUGGAUAAUGAAAAUAAUAUUUAAAAAAACCUAUCCAUAAAAAUAUUUACUAACAUAGCUACUAGAUGACGUAGACCAUAAAUAAGUACCAAAAAUUUUCAUAAAUUUUACAUAUCACUAGGGAGUCAGUCAUCUAUCAAAAACUUUUCAGACGAUUUUUAAAUUGAAACAAAUGUUCACAGUUCCUUGAAAUAUUACUUCUGUUAAGUAGUUGUUCUUUUUUAUUUUUAUUCUUAGAUUUUAUCCAACUGUCAACCCCUAUGAACAUAGAUGAGUCAUGUUAUGCCCAAAAAAUUCUUUAACGUGAAGACUUACAUUCUCCCUCAUUGAUAGAUUUAUUAUAUUUUAUAGUCAUUAAAAUUUGUAAGUAAUUAGUUUUAAUUUAUAUGAUUUUUGACAUAUUUUAUUUCCAUGUGAAUGAAAAGAUUUUUGGCUCUCGAUUCCUUUAGCGUUGGUUGUUGAUGAAUCGAAGUUGCUGACGUUUCGUCCAUCAUAUUGUUGGCUUCUUCAGCGCUUAAUUGAAAAAUUUCCAAGAAAAUUUAUAAAUAGUAAUACAUUAAUUUGUGGAAUUUUCGGUGAAUAAUUAACAACCAAGAUUCUUGAUUAAGUUAUUUUGCAUGGCGUCAGAAGAAUCUGCUGUGGUUGUUGGCAGAUAAAUUCGCAGGUUAAAUUAGAUUUCAAGUUUCAGGAAAUUUAAAAAAAUCUUUCUUCUUUUUCUUCUUUUUGUAUGUGGAGUAUGUCGGGGUCACCGUCUCACUUCCUCAGUGGAAUGCUCUCCGCCUGACGAAAUAUUGAUCCAGCAUUCGUCACUGCACACUAAUGUCGGACGUUUCUGAGCCAUGAAUGUUGUUUUCUUCAUGAAGGAGAAGGGUCGGGGUGGAGUAGCGAGCACCUCUCAGUAUGUGGCCAUGUAGGAUCCUUUUCAGUGUAUUUUUGGAAAUCCGUUGGAAGUAGUGUACCGCAUCGCUGUUGCGAAUCGAUAGUGAUUUGUGCGCUGGAUUACUGGUACAACACGCUUCCGUUUCAACGGUUAAAGAAAGAAUUACAGAUCUACAUGGCAGAGCACUUGGGACUCCUGGUACCAUAGACUAUCGGUACGCCGUUCGAGAGCCAGCAGGACGAAUUGUUGUAACCCAGCGUCCACUACACCCAAUACCUCACUUGGGAAGUGAAUCUCUCGGACGAACGUGUUGGUUGAUACAGGAACGAAACUAUGAACCUAUUUCGAAGACAAUCAUGCAAUUUCCACCACCCGUUCAGAUACUUUUCAUGACUACCAAUAGUCUUUCGUCCGUUCGAAGAGCGCAGAGAAGUUGUUUAGAGUCAGCCAAAAGCGGAGCAUUCUUUCACCUGCUCCGAAUCUAUAUCAGCAGAUUUGAUUCCAGACAUAUCCAUAGGUGAGUAUAAAUAUUUUUAAAUAAUUCAAUAAAAAUCAAUAUCCAACAAAUUGUUUUGUAUUUACUACUCCUUUGAUUACCACCAUAUUUUCAAUAAAAAUCGAUA
This is a long non-coding RNA of Cylas formicarius (sweet potato weevil), 5547 nucleotides long. RefSeq lists it as uncharacterized. The record is from RefSeq and is a predicted model, not a curated record. The transcript is spliced from 6 exons. Lineage: Eukaryota; Metazoa; Arthropoda; Insecta; Coleoptera; Brentidae.